GUCGAGGCUAGAGUCACGCUUGGGUAUGGACUGUUGCCUUAGUGUGCUAGAGUCCUCGGAGAAUAAGUGCUGACCUUAUUCACUGGCUGUGUGUGUUGAUGGCACAGCCAGUCACCAGGUUAGUGACAUGC
Perognathus longimembris pacificus (Pacific pocket mouse) is the source of this 131-nucleotide small nucleolar RNA. RefSeq annotates it as small nucleolar RNA SNORA3/SNORA45 family. The transcript has a single exon. NCBI's taxonomy places the organism in Eukaryota, Metazoa, Chordata, Mammalia, Rodentia, Heteromyidae. The record is from RefSeq and is a predicted model, not a curated record.